GAUGAACGCUGGCGGUAGGCCUAACACAUGCAAGUCGAACGGCAGCACAGGCGAGCUUGCUCUCUGGGUGGCGAGUGGCGGACGGGGGAGGAAUACAUCGGAAUCUACUCUGUCGUGGGGGAUAACGUAGGGAAACUUACGCUAAUACCGCAUACGACCUACGGGUGAAAGCAGGGGAUCUUCGGACCUUGCGCGAUGCAAUGCGCCGAUGUCGGAUUAGCUAGUUGGCGGGGUAAAGGCCCACCAAGGCGACGAUCCGUAGCUGGUCUGAGAGGAUGAUCAGCCACACUGGAACUGAGACACGGUCCAGACUCCUACGGGAGGCAGCAGUGGGGAAUAUUGGACAAUGGGCGCAAGCCUGAUCCAGCCAUACCGCGUGGGUGAAGAAGGCCUUCGGGUUGUAAAGCCCUUUUGUUGGGAAAGAAAUCCAGCUGGCUAAUACCCGGUUGGGAUGACGGUACCCAAAGAAUAAGCACCGGCUAACUUCGUGCCAGCCGCCGCGGUAA
This 506-nucleotide ribosomal RNA is filed under the name uncultured bacterium. Its description in RNAcentral is "partial 16S ribosomal RNA". It matches the Rfam family "Bacterial small subunit ribosomal RNA", at positions 28 to 523 of the family's 1533-position model. The record is from RNAcentral.